Molecule: ribosomal RNA, 253 nt
Filed under: uncultured bacterium
Lineage: Bacteria
Description: partial 16S ribosomal RNA
Rfam family: Bacterial small subunit ribosomal RNA
Source: RNAcentral
UACGAAGGGGGCUAGCGUUGCUCGGAAUCACUGGGCGUAAAGGGUGCGUAGGCGGGUCUUUUAAGUCAGGGGUGAAAUCUGGAGCUCAACUCCAGAACUGCCUUUGAUACUGAGGAUCUUGAGUUCGGGAGAGGUGAGUGGAACUGCGAGUGUAGAGGUGAAAUUCGUAGAUAUUCGCAAGAACACCAGUGGCGAAGGCGGCUCACUGGCCCGAUACUGACGCUGAGGCACGAAAGCGUGGGGAGCAAACAGG